RNAcentral lists this microRNA (23 nucleotides) under Monodelphis domestica (gray short-tailed opossum). RNAcentral describes it as "mdo-miR-7301-3p". Lineage: Eukaryota; Metazoa; Chordata; Mammalia; Didelphimorphia; Didelphidae. The record is from miRBase by way of RNAcentral.
CCAUGCCAGGGGCGCUGGGAGGU